Molecule: ribosomal RNA, 329 nt
Filed under: uncultured bacterium
Lineage: Bacteria
Description: bacterial SSU rRNA
Rfam family: Bacterial small subunit ribosomal RNA
Source: RNAcentral
ACCAAAGUAUGGCCUCUACUUGUAAGCUAUCGCUGAGGGAUGGCCUGCGGGCCAUUAGCUUGUUGGUGAGGUAACGGCUCACCAAGGCUGUGAUGGCUAGCUGGUCUGAGAGGAUGACCAGCUACACUGGGACUGAGACACGGCCCAGACUCCUACGGGAGGCAGCAGUGGGGAAUAUUGCGCAAUGGGCGAAAGCCUGACGCAGCGACGCCGCGUGGGUGAUGAAGGCCUUCGGGUCGUAAAGCCCUGUCGCAGGGGAAGAAUAAGCAUCGGUAUAAUACGCCGGUGCCCUGACGGUACCCUGCAAGAAAGCACCGGCUAACUCCGUG